AAGAUGGACUCGCGUCCCAUUAGUUAGUUGGUGAGGUAACGGCUCACCAAGACUUCGAUGGGUAGCCGGCCUGAGAGGGUGAACGGCCACACUGGAACUGAGACACGGUCCAGACUCCUACGGGAGUCAGCAGUGGGGAAUAUUGCACAAUGGGCGAAAGCCUGAUGCAGCGACGCCGCGUGAGUGAAGAAGGUCUUCGGAUCGUAAAACUCUGUCCUUGGAAGCUAGAUUGACGGUACCCAAGGAGGAAGCCCCGGCUAACUACGUGCCAGCAGCCGCGGUAAUACGUAGGGGGCAAGCGUUGUCCGGAAUUAUUGGGCGUAAAGGGUGCGCAGGCGGUCUUUUAAGUCAGAUGUGAAAGGCUACGGCUCAACCGUGGUAAGCAUUUGAAACUGGAAGACUUGAGUACAGGAGAGGGAAGUGGAAUUCCUAGUGUAGCGGUGAAAUGCGUAGAUAUUAGGAGGAACACCAGUGGCGAAGGCGACUUUCUGGACUGUAACUGACGCUGAGGCGCGAAAGCGUGGGGAGCAAACAGGAUUAGAUACCCUGGUAGUCCACGCCGUAAACGAUGAGUGCUAGGUGUAGAGGGUAUCGACCCCUUCUGUGCCGCAGUUAACACAAUAAGCACUCCGCCUGGGGAGUACGGUCGCAAGACUGAAACUCAAAGGAAUUGACGGGGGCCCGCACAAGCAGCGGAGCAUGUGGUUUAAUUCGACGCAACGCGAAGAACCUUACCAGGACUUGACAUCCCUCGCAAUCUGUAGAAAUAUGGAGUUCCCUUCGGGGACGAGGAGACAGGUGGUGCACGGUUGUCGUCAGCUCGUGUCGUGAGAUGUUGGGUUAAGUCCCGCAACGAGCGCAACCCUUGUCCUUAGUUGCCAGCAUGAAAGAUGGGCACUCUAGGGAGACUGCGGAGAUAAUUCGGAGGAAGGUGGGGAUGACGUCAAAUCAUCAUGCCCCUUAUGUCCUGGGCUACACACGUGCUACAAUGGGCUGAACAGAGGGAAGCGAGACCGCGAGGUGGAGCCAAUCCCAUAAAACAGCUCUCAGUUCAGAUCGUAGGCUGCAACUCGCCUACGUGAAGAUGGAGUUGCUAGUAAUCGCGGAUCAGCAUGCCGCGGUGAAUGCGUUCCCGGGCCUUGUACACACCGCCCGUCACACCACGAAAGUCAGC
This 1174-nucleotide ribosomal RNA is filed under the name uncultured bacterium. RNAcentral's name for it is "bacterial SSU rRNA". It matches the Rfam family "Bacterial small subunit ribosomal RNA", at positions 222 to 1415 of the family's 1533-position model. The record is from RNAcentral.